UGUGUGUGUGUGUGUGUGUGUGUGUGUGUGUGACUUCCUUCCUUCCUUUUCUUUUCUCUUUGGCUCACGAAGAGUUAGUAGGGAACUCUGAUUCUCUUGACUGGUCAACAAGGGGUCCUAAGAGAGCCAGGUAACUAAGCGUUUGUUCCCCCUUAAUCUCCUGCUGCUGUCAGCAGGGGUUGAAAUGCCAAAGUCAGCAGCGUUUGGCCACAGACUAGCAAAGAGUUAAAGAGUUAACUUGCCCGAAGAAAGCAGAAGCAGCUUCGGCUGGUGUGCAGUCCCAGACUCCACACUCCCUUUCACUGCCUUCCUGGGGAACUGGAUGCUAAGAUAACUCCUGGCAGGACCUUGUCCCUAAUCUCUUGGGUUCAGGUUCCUAACAGGAACAGGGACUAUUAGAAAAACCAGGGAGAUGAGGGGUGCUGUGGUCUCAACAUUCACCUCCAAAAUUCAGGUGUCGUAGUGUGGGACUUUUAAGAAGGGAUCCGGACAUGAUGUCUCCUUUCUUAGGUAUGGAAUUCAGGCCCUUAAGAAAGGGGCUCACCCGGAGCUGGGGAUGCAGCUCAGAAGGAAGAGUCCUUGCUUAACAUCCGUGAAGCCCUGGACCUCAUCCCUCGCGCCACACAAAUGAUCUCCAGUGCCAAGGAAAACAUGUAGCUGGCAAAAUACCUUGAGUCUGGCUGAAUCCAACCAUGAUCCAGUGAGCCUUGCUCUCGUGAUGUGGUCUCAAGUGUGUUUGGGGAACUUGAGCCGUUAGUAACUGUCCUGCCAGGUUCUGCAACCCUGUAGCUCAAAGCUGAGGUCAGCCCUGACUGGUGCUGGUUUGGGAAGGAGAGCCCAACUUGAGGCGGAUGGGCUCUACAGCUGCUCUAGGAGACUGCCCCCUAGUGGUUGGAAUCCUCCUAGCGGCCUGGAAUUCUCACCCUCAGCCUCGCGGGAGGAAACUUCAUCCUUAUGAGUUUCAUCCUAGACAAAGGUGGGCAGAGGUCCUUCUAAUGGCUCAUGCUUUCAUCGAGUAAAGGCAUUUCCUGCCAACCUGGAUCUUCAGAGUUCAAUCCUGAGACCCAGAAGCCCUCUCUCCCUACAAAUACAGGCAAAUAAAAACUUGUAAAAAGGAUGUCUGGAGACUAGAGUCACCUUUAGAGGAAAGCUAGAAGCAAGUUUGAGUUUCCUAUUAGCUGUGAAAAUAUCUGUUCCCUCUGGGAGAGGCCAUUCAGGUGUGAGUACAGGCCAGGGUGAGGGAGGGGACUGGUGGCCAGUUCCUGAGCACGUCACCUGGUGAUAGGUUGGCCACCAACCACCGGAGAACAACUUUCUGAAUAAAACCUUC
Mus musculus (house mouse) is the source of this 1330-nucleotide long non-coding RNA. RefSeq annotates it as predicted gene, 31547. Lineage: Eukaryota; Metazoa; Chordata; Mammalia; Rodentia; Muridae. The record is from RefSeq and is a predicted model, not a curated record. The transcript has 3 exons.